This is a non-coding RNA of Callithrix jacchus (white-tufted-ear marmoset), 812 nucleotides long. The record is from RefSeq and is a predicted model, not a curated record. NCBI's taxonomy places the organism in Eukaryota, Metazoa, Chordata, Mammalia, Primates, Cebidae.
AUGGAGGGUGUAGAAGAGAAGAAGGUGGUUCCUGCUGUGCCAGAACUCUUAAGAAAAAUCGAAGGAAUUUCACAGAGCUGAAGAUCAAGUGCCUGAGAAAGAAUUUUGCCCAAAAGAUGCUUUGAAAGGCAAGGAGGAAGCUUAUCUAUGAAAAGGCAAAGCACUAUCACGAGGAAUACAGGCAGAUGUACACAACUGAAAUUCCAAUGGCGAGGAUGGCAAGGAAAGCUGGCAACUUCUAUGCACCUGCAGAAUCCAAACUGGCAUUUGUCAUCAGGAUCAGAGGUAUCAGUGGUGCGAGCCCAAAGGUCUGAAAGGUGUUGCACCUUCUUCACCUUCGUCAAAUCUUCAAUGGAACCUUUGUGAAGCUCAACAAGGCUUCAGUUAACAUGCUGAGGAUCGUAGAUCCAUAUAUUGCAUGUGGGUGCCCAAAUCUAAGUCAGUAAAUGAACUAAUCUACAUACGUGGUUAUGGCAAAAUCAAAAAGAAGCGAAUUGCCUUGACAGAUAACGCUCUGAUUGCUCGAUCUCUUGGUAAAUACGGUAUCAUCUGCAUGGAGGAUCUGAUUCAUGAGAUCUAUACUGUUGGAAAACGCUUCAAAAAGCAAAUAACUUCCUGUGGCCCUUCAAAUUAUCUUUUCCACGAGGUGGAAUGAAGAAAAAGACCACCCAUUUUGUAGAAGGUGGAGAUGCUGGCAGCAGGGAAGAUCAGAUCAACAGGCUUAUUAGAAGACUGAACUAAGGCGUCCACCAUGAUUAUUUUUCUAAGCUGGUCAGUUAAUAAAUAGUACCUGCUCUCAAAUUGAAAAAAAA